Molecule: ribosomal RNA, 565 nt
Filed under: Halomonas sp. B22.2
Lineage: Bacteria; Pseudomonadati; Pseudomonadota; Gammaproteobacteria; Oceanospirillales; Halomonadaceae
Description: bacterial SSU rRNA
Rfam family: Bacterial small subunit ribosomal RNA
Source: RNAcentral
UGAACGCUGGCGGCAGGCCUAACACAUGCAAGUCGAGCGGAAACGAUCCUAGCUUGCUAGGAGGCGUCGAGCGGCGGACGGGUGAGUAAUGCAUAGGAAUCUGCCCGGUAGUGGGGGAUAACUUGAGGAAACUCAAGCUAAUACCGCAUACGCCCUACGGGGGAAAGCAGGGGCUCUUCGGACCUUGCGCUAUCGGAUGAGCUUAUGUCGGAUUAGCUGGUUGGUGAGGUAACGGCUCACCAAGGCGACGAUCCGUAGCUGGUCUGAGAGGAUGAUCAGCCACAUCGGGACUGAGACACGGCCCGAACUCCUACGGGAGGCAGCAGUGGGGAAUAUUGGACAAUGGGGGCAACCCUGAUCCAGCCAUGCCGCGUGUGUGAAGAAGGCCCUCGGGUUGUAAAGCACUUUCAGCGAGGAAGAAUGCUUGUCGGUUAAUACCCGGCAAGGGAGACAUCACUCGCAGAAGAAGCACCGGCUAACUCCGUGCCAGCAGCCGCGGUAAUACGGAGGGUGCGAGCGUUAAUCGGAAUUACUGGGCGUAAAGCGUGCGUANGCGGCUUGAUAA